This 525-nucleotide long non-coding RNA is filed under the name Hordeum vulgare. RNAcentral's name for it is "long non-coding RNA (HVUL_LNC001682)". Lineage: Eukaryota; Viridiplantae; Streptophyta; Magnoliopsida; Poales; Poaceae. The record is from RNAcentral.
UUUUCAAACUCGUUUUUUAUCGGUUAUAACUUGAGGAUGAAGUUCUCUUGGUUAAUUGUUAAUCAACAUUCUAUACACUUGACACUCCAAUCUGUUUAUGUCAGCACACAAUAUUUUGAAACUCCCUUUGUGCCGGUUAUAACCUGUGGGUGAAGCGCUCUUGAUCAACCAUUAUAGUAUACGCUAGCACACUCCAAUCCGAACAAUCAUCAUCUCCAAUGAUAAUUAACCUGGCAUAUAACGGCCACUAAUCUCUUCAAGGGACAUCUAAAUCGUUGCCUUGUCCUACCUCCCCCGCAAGCAUGCAUAUACGCCAAUCAUAUGGGACCAAGGAUAACAUCAAGGUCGUAGAAACUUUUGCGACACCAUCAAGGCACGAGCAGGCACCGGAUCCUUGCGAUUUGCGAAAGCACUCCUGUUGUCGGACUCACUAUUCAGUAUUCAGCACGCCUUGUCCGGCGGAGUCAAUAAUCCCGGCACGUUGGACUGUGCAUUCAUUGCAUCGUCCGAAAGGCGAAAGAUAUU